Long non-coding RNA from Phacochoerus africanus (Common warthog), 1437 nucleotides. RefSeq lists it as uncharacterized. Lineage: Eukaryota; Metazoa; Chordata; Mammalia; Artiodactyla; Suidae. The record is from RefSeq and is a predicted model, not a curated record. The transcript is spliced from 2 exons.
CCAGACCCCGCAGAACCGAAAGUUUAACAUUCACACAUAAACUUAAGUCCCCGUGCGGCCAUCCGUAUAUCGGGCCUGUCUCGCGUGGGGACACACACAGAGGAGGCAGGAAUCAGUAAGUGCAAAAUACAAAAACGAAUGGAGGCGUGCUGGGCGCGAAACGUCGAAGCGCCUCAAAAGAACCGUGAAGAAAAGGCAGGGAGAAGGGCGCGCAGCCGGGACUCGGGGCCGGGGGAUUGCAUCAUUGCAGCUCCCCCUCCAGAAAAUGGGCCCCGAACCGCGGCCACCAUCAUGGCGCUCGCGCCGGGCCGCGCUUCCCCCGCGCUUUCCCAGAGCACUCGGGUCACGGGCGCUGAGCCUCGAGCGAGCGUUCUGCAAACAUGUCCCCCUUCUCUCUCCAGCGCCUGCCCCCCCACCUCCUCCCUUCCUUUUGUGUGCUUGCGGACGUGUGUGCGUGCGUCCGUGUGAGUGUGUAUGGACCGGAGAACUUGAAGAUUAUUUUUUUCCUCACUUUUUUCCCUCUCGUGCUAGUGGUUGUAAACUUGAUUGGCAUUGGCUGCGCCCACUGACCCCAGCGCCGAGUCCACUGAAGAUUUAAGGUGGAUCCGAGAAGCCGCAGCUUCGGGCGGAGUCUUAGGCUUUAGCUAGUUUUGGAGGAAAAAAAAAAAAAAAAAGCCCCGAACCGUGGGCCCGCUGCGUUUUUACGAAUCCCUCGCAGCAGCAGCCUCGGCGCCCGCCCCGCCCGCCGCGCGCCGGCUCCGCCCACCUCCCGCUUCUUUCCCAUUGGCCCGCGAGAGCAGUUUGAAUUUUUUUUUUUUUUGGAUGCUUGUUUUCUUGUUAAAAAAUACCGUGUCCCAGAUCAAGUGACGAAACCUACUUCCGCGGCCGGAGGUGGGGUGUUGUAGCUGGUGUUUUGGAGGCUGGAGGGAGGAAGGUGGGCGGAGCUUCUGUUUCUAAAAUUUUCCCUAAGGAGCGGUUGAUUGUGUACUGGCGGGUGGAGGAGACUGGGGCCGCAGAAAAACAAACGGGAGAAGCCGAGCCCAGUGUAGUAUAAAACGUUAAUGGAUGUCCAGGGCGCAUCGUUUCACCGGCUGCUGGCCAGAGGUACUAGGAGGCGCUGGCAGGAGCACUGGCGAGGAUGCACCUUUCCCCUGCCUUGGAAAGUCCUGAUGAAAAUUCUGAGAAGUCGUCCCGUCGAUGGGGAAAAGGAGCCUGGGACCCCUUCCUUGAGGUCAAAUAAAGCAGUUUAAAAAAGGCUCCAAUUUAGGUCCUGCUGACUCUCAGCCUGGCUUUAGAGGCUGUCCUGUUAUUCCUGUAAAUAAUCUCAACAAGAACAAGGCCAACUGGCUCAGCGUGACACGCGAUCCCAAAUCAUUCUCUUGCACUUUCUGCCAGAUUGGAAGACAGUCUCAUGAUUAAAUAUUUCUGCCAGCGAUA